This 404-nucleotide ribosomal RNA is filed under the name uncultured bacterium. Its description in RNAcentral is "bacterial SSU rRNA". It matches the Rfam family "Bacterial small subunit ribosomal RNA", at positions 113 to 507 of the family's 1533-position model. The record is from RNAcentral.
UGGCCUAGGAAGUCUGCCUGGUAGUGGGGGGACGAAACGUUUCGUAAAGGAAACGCUAAUACCGCAUACGUCCUACGGGAGAAAGCAGGGGACCUUCGGGCCUUGCGCUAUCAGAUGAGCCUAGGUCGGAUUAGCUAGUAGGUGAGGUAAUGGCUCACCUAGGCGACGAUCCGUAACUGGUCUGAGAGGAUGAUCAGUCACACUGGAACUGAGACACGGUCCAGACUCCUACGGGAGGCAGCAGUGGGGAAUAUUGGACAAUGGGCGAAAGCCUGAUCCAGCCAUGCCGCGUGUGUGAAGAAGGUCUUCGGAUUGUAAAGCACUUUAAGUUGGGAGGAAGGGUAGUAACCUAAUACGUUGCUACUUUGACGUUACCGACAGAAUAAGCACCGGCUAACUUCGUG